AUUCAAUUUUCAUCACUCUUAUCAGAAAAUAAAAUCCAGCUCAUGAUCAUUAUGUCUAAAACUAUGUUCCUCAAGUUGGUUUUUGUGCUCAGUCUUGUUCUCAUGAUCUCUGCGGCUGACAGUCUAAAAAUUGGUAUUGGAAUUGGAGGCCAAGAUCCGUCUGCAGUGUGCAACGCUGUGCAUGGAGCAGUGAGCGGUGAUACUUGUUCAAGCGUCGCGCAAGAAUUCGGUCUCCCCCUCCAAGACUUCAUCACUAUUAACCCUAAUAUCAACUGCGACGUGAUCUUUGUUGGCCAGUGGCUGUGCAUUGAUGGAUCUGCCUAAGUACUGUUGAUGGAUGGAUAUAGAGACCAUUUUAUGUUAAUGAACGGCAUCAAUUAGGUGUAAUAAAUGUGACCAAAGUCGCAGGUUUAUUUUCGUGUGCCUCUGUGGUUAAGGAUUUCACCAACGUUGGAAUUUCACACAUUUUCUUUUCCAACACAAACAGUGAAACGUCAUUAAAAUUCCAGUAUUUAUGUGUGUCUAGCACUCAGGACUAAAACACAAGUGAAGAGGGAGACCCUACCGAGUGAGCUAUUUCAGGGACGGUAUUGUUUGUUCUCUUUCACAAAUAUAUAUAACGGUGACUAUCUCUCAUGACA
This is a non-coding RNA of Sesamum indicum (sesame), 641 nucleotides long. The record is from RefSeq and is a predicted model, not a curated record. NCBI's taxonomy places the organism in Eukaryota, Viridiplantae, Streptophyta, Magnoliopsida, Lamiales, Pedaliaceae.